RNAcentral lists this ribosomal RNA (497 nucleotides) under uncultured bacterium. RNAcentral describes it as "partial 16S ribosomal RNA". It matches the Rfam family "Bacterial small subunit ribosomal RNA", at positions 28 to 507 of the family's 1533-position model. The record is from RNAcentral.
GAUGGACGCUGGCGGCGUGCCUAAUACAUGCAAGUCGAGCGAACGGACGAGAAGCUUGCUUCUCUGAUGUUAGCGGCGGACGGGUGAGUAACACGUGGAUAACCUACCUAUAAGACUGGGAUAACUUCGGGAAACCGGAGCUAAUACCGGAUAAUAUUUUGAACCGCAUGGUUCAAAAGUGAAAGACGGUCCUGCUGUCACUUAUAGAUGGAUCCGCGCUGCAUUAGCUAGUUGGUAAGGUAACAGCUUACCAAGGCAACGAUGCAUAGCCGACCUGAGAGGGUGAUCGGCCACACUGGAACUGAGACACGGUCCAGACUCCUACGGGAGGCAGCAGUAGGGAAUCUUCCGCAAUGGGCGAAAGCCUGACGGAGCAACGCCGCGUGAGUGAUGAAGGUCUUCGGAUCGUAAAACUCUGUUAUUAGGGAAGAACAUAUGUGUAAGUAACUGUGCACAUCUUGACGGUACCUAAUCAGAAAGCCACGGCUAACUACGUG